Molecule: transfer RNA, 94 nt
Filed under: bacterium
Lineage: Bacteria
Description: tRNA-Ser
Rfam family: tRNA
About the family: Transfer RNA (tRNA) molecules are approximately 80 nucleotides in length.
Source: RNAcentral
GGAGAGAUGGCCGAGUGGUUGAAGGCGGCUGCCUGCUAAGCAGUUAAUCGGGAAUAGCCCCGGUUCGAGGGUUCGAAUCCCUCUCUCUCCGCCA